Molecule: ribosomal RNA, 313 nt
Filed under: uncultured bacterium
Lineage: Bacteria
Description: bacterial SSU rRNA
Rfam family: Bacterial small subunit ribosomal RNA
Source: RNAcentral
AUAUGUUGUUAAAGGUUUACCGCCUUGGGAUAGGCUUGCGUCUGAUUAGCUAGUUGGUGUGGUAACGGCACACCAAGGCUACGAUCAGUAACUGGUCCUGAGAGGAUGAUCAGUCACACUGGAACUGGGACACGGUCCAGACUCCUACGGGAGGCAGCAGUGAGGAAUAUUGGGCAAUGCUCGAAAGAGUGACCCAGCAACGCCGCGUGGAGGAUGAAGGUAUUCUAUAUCGUAAACUCCUGUGAGAGCAGACGAAAGACAGAUUAUUAAUCUGGAUGACUGUAUGCUCAGAGGAAGCCCGGCUAACUACGUG